Molecule: transfer RNA, 75 nt
Filed under: Candidatus Methanomethylophilaceae archaeon
Lineage: Archaea; Methanobacteriati; Thermoplasmatota; Thermoplasmata; Methanomassiliicoccales; Methanomethylophilaceae
Description: tRNA-Gly
Rfam family: tRNA
About the family: Transfer RNA (tRNA) molecules are approximately 80 nucleotides in length. Their secondary structure includes four short double-helical elements and three loops (D, anti-codon, and T loops).
Source: RNAcentral
GCGAUUGUAGUCCAGCGGUUAGGACGGAUGCUUCCCAAGCCUCUGACUCGGGUUCGAAUCCCGGCAAUCGCACCA